GAUGAACGCUGGCGGCAUGCCUAACACAUGCAAGUCGAUCGGUAAGGCUCUUCGGAGUACACGAGAGGCGGACGGCUGAGUAACGCGUAGGAACACACCCUGCAGUGAGGGAUAAGACACCGAAAGGUGUUCUAAUACCGCAUACGGUCUUCGGAUUAAAGCAUUUAUGCGCUGAAGGAGUGGCCUGCGUCAUAUUAGAUAGUUGGUGAGGUAAUGGCUCACCAAGUCGAUGAUGUGUAGCUGGUCUGAGAGGAUGAUCAGCCAGACUGGAACUGAGACACGGUCCAGACUCCUACGGGAAGCAGCAGUGAGGAAUAUUUCACAAUGAGCGAAAGCUUGAUGGAGCAAUGCCGCGUGCGGGAUGAAGGCCCUCGGGUUGUAAACUGCUUUUAUAAGAGAAGAUUAUGACGGUAACUUAUGAAUAAGGGACGGCUAACUACGUG
This 443-nucleotide ribosomal RNA is filed under the name uncultured bacterium. RNAcentral describes it as "partial 16S ribosomal RNA". It matches the Rfam family "Bacterial small subunit ribosomal RNA", at positions 28 to 507 of the family's 1533-position model. The record is from RNAcentral.